RNAcentral lists this ribosomal RNA (208 nucleotides) under uncultured Bacillota bacterium. RNAcentral's name for it is "uncultured Firmicutes bacterium partial 16S ribosomal RNA". It matches the Rfam family "Bacterial small subunit ribosomal RNA", at positions 568 to 775 of the family's 1533-position model. Lineage: Bacteria; Bacillati; Bacillota. The record is from RNAcentral.
UGCGUAGGCGGUUGCCUAAGUCAGAUGUGAAAUCCCCGGGCUUAACCCGGGUGGUGCAUUUGAAACUGGGCAUCUUGAGUGCAGGAGAGGGAAGCGGAAUUCCUAGUGUAGCGGUGAAAUGCGUAGAUAUUAGGAGGAACACCAGUGGCGAAGGCGGCUUUCUGGACUGUAACUGACGCUGAGGCACGAAAGCGUGGGGAGCAAACAG